Molecule: ribosomal RNA, 306 nt
Filed under: uncultured bacterium
Lineage: Bacteria
Description: partial 16S ribosomal RNA
Rfam family: Bacterial small subunit ribosomal RNA
Source: RNAcentral
GACAGCAGUCGCCGCGGGAAUACAGAGGGUGCGAGCGUUAAUCGGAUUUACUGGGCGUAAAGCGUGCGUAGGCGGCUUUUUAAGUCGGAUGUGAAAUCCCUGAGCUUAACUUAGGAAUUGCAUUCGAUACUGGGAAGCUAGAGUAUGGGAGAGGAUGGUAGAAUUCCAGGUGUAGCGGUGAAAUGCGUAGAGAUCUGGAGGAAUACCGAUGGCGAAGGCAGCCAUCUGGCCUAAUACUGACGCUGAGGUACGAAAGCAUGGGGAGCAAACAGGAUUAGAGACCCCAGUAGUCCCUGUCUCUUAUAC